GUAAGUAAAAAGGAUGGAACAAGAAGCCAAAAUUAUGCUAUGAAAUUUUGCUCCUUCCUAAAGGAUUGUUGCCAUUUCAAGGAGGAGAGAGAGGUCAAGUAAAGCUUUCUCAUUAACAGUUAAGAGCAGUGAUUAAAAUUUGCUUCUUGAAGAAUUAGUUGUGGUAGAAUAACAGAGAACAUACAUUCCAGAGGAGCCUACAAGACAUUUUGAGGGGACACUGUACUCCUCCUCUGUGUGACAUGCAGGAGAAUGGGUGAUUCCAGAUUAGAGAAUUCGGAGACUACAGGAUCACACAAAGUGGCUUCCCAGCCUGCAUUGUGGUGUUCCCAGCAGUCUUGACUCUCUGAUCCUGGCUUUGUAAUCACUGGAUCACGCCUCAGUUGAAGGGGCCAUGCAUGCGCUGAUACCUCUCAGGAUGUCUGAGGACAAGCCUCUUUUUUCUACUUCUGCUCCCUGGGCUGAAACUACC
This 472-nucleotide long non-coding RNA is filed under the name Bos indicus x Bos taurus (hybrid cattle). RNAcentral's name for it is "lncRNA (ENSBIXG00005014125.1)". The record is from RNAcentral. Lineage: Eukaryota; Metazoa; Chordata; Mammalia; Artiodactyla; Bovidae.